ACUACGGCUUUUUUUAAAGCUAUGACACACAUAAGGCAAAACUGUUU
Molecule: non-coding RNA, 47 nt
Organism: Anopheles christyi
Lineage: Eukaryota; Metazoa; Arthropoda; Insecta; Diptera; Culicidae
Source: Rfam